Molecule: ribosomal RNA, 511 nt
Filed under: uncultured bacterium
Lineage: Bacteria
Description: bacterial SSU rRNA
Rfam family: Bacterial small subunit ribosomal RNA
Source: RNAcentral
GUUUGAUUAUGGCUCAGAUUGAACGCUGGCGGCACGCUUAACACAUGCAAGUCGAACGGCAGCAUGAAUUAACUUCGGUUGAUUUGAUGGCGAGUGGCGAACGGGUGAGUAACGCGUAGGAAUAUGCCUUAAAGAGGGGGAUAACUCGGGGAAACUCGAGCUAAUACCGCGUAAGCUCUACGGAGUAAAGCAUGGGACCUUCGGGCCAUGCGCUUUAAGAAUAGCCUGCGUCCGAUUAGCUAGUUGGUGGGGUAAAGGCCUACCAAGGCGAUGAUCGGUAGCUGGUCUGAGAGGAUGGACAGCCACACUGGGACUGAGACACGGCCCAGACUCCUACGGGAGGCAGCAGUGGGGAAUAUUGGACAAUGGGGGCAACCCUGAUCCAGCGAUGCCGCGUGUGUGAAGAAGGCCCGAGGGUUGUAAAGCACUUUUAGUGGGGAGGAAAAGGUACAGGUUAAGAGCUAGUAUCUGUGACGUUACCCACCAUAAACAGCACCGGCUAACUCCGUGC